RNAcentral lists this ribosomal RNA (301 nucleotides) under uncultured bacterium. Its description in RNAcentral is "partial 16S ribosomal RNA". It matches the Rfam family "Bacterial small subunit ribosomal RNA", at positions 509 to 807 of the family's 1533-position model. The record is from RNAcentral.
CAGUCGCCGCGGUAAUACGGAGGGAGCUAGCGUUGUUCGGAAUUACUGGGCGUAAAGCGCACGUAGGCGGCUCAGCAAGUCAGGGGUGAAAUCCCGGGGCUCAACCCCGGAACUGCCCUUGAAACUGCUAGGCUAGAAUCUUGGAGAGGCGAGUGGAAUUCCGAGUGUAGAGGUGAAAUUCGUAGAUAUUCGGAAGAACACCAGUGGCGAAGGCGACUCGCUGGACAAGUAUUGACGCUGAGGUGCGAAAGCGUGGGGAGCAAACAGGAUUAGAUACCCCUGUAGUCCCUGUCUCUUAUAC